This 442-nucleotide ribosomal RNA is filed under the name uncultured bacterium. RNAcentral describes it as "partial 16S ribosomal RNA". It matches the Rfam family "Bacterial small subunit ribosomal RNA", at positions 338 to 795 of the family's 1533-position model. The record is from RNAcentral.
CCUACGGGGGGCAGCAGUAGGGAAUCUUUCACAAUGGGCGAAAGCCUGAUGCAGCAACGCCGCGUGCAGGAUGAAGGCCUUCGGGUUUGAAACUGCUUUCAUAAGCGAGAAAUAUGAUGGUAACUUAUGAAUAAGGAACGGCUAACUACGUGCCCGCAGCCGCGGUCAUACGUAGGAUCCGAGCAUUAUCCGGAGUGACUGGGUGUAAAGAGUUGCGUAGGUGGCAUAAUAAGGAGCUAGUGAAAUCUGGUGGCUCAACCAUUCAGAUUAUUAGCUAAACUGUUAAGCUCGAGACCGUUAGAGGUAACUGGAAUUCGUGGUGUAGGAGUGAAAUGCGUAGAUAUUAGGAAGAACCCCGAUAGCGUAGGCAGGUUGCUGGGACGGUUCUGACACUAAGGCACGAAAGCGUAGGGAGCAAACGGGAUUAGAUACCCCAGUAGUC